GCCUGGCUAGCUCAGUUGGUAGAGCAUGUGACUGUUGAUCCCAGGGUCAUGGGUUCAAACCCCAUGCUGGGUG
Suricata suricatta (meerkat) is the source of this 73-nucleotide non-coding RNA. The record is from the annotation of a RefSeq genome assembly. NCBI's taxonomy places the organism in Eukaryota, Metazoa, Chordata, Mammalia, Carnivora, Herpestidae.